AGAGUAUGCCUACGGGAGCAGCAGUAGGGAAUUUUCGUCAAUGGGCGCAAGCCUGAACGAGCAAUGCCGCGUGAACGAGGAAGGUCUUCGGAUCGUAAAGUUCUGUUGAAGGGGAAAAAGAGCGGAGAGAGGAAAUGGUCUCUGAUUGAUAUUACCCUUCGAGGAAGUCACGGCUAACUACGUGCC
Molecule: ribosomal RNA, 186 nt
Filed under: uncultured bacterium
Lineage: Bacteria
Description: partial 16S ribosomal RNA
Rfam family: Bacterial small subunit ribosomal RNA
Source: RNAcentral